Molecule: ribosomal RNA, 268 nt
Filed under: uncultured bacterium
Lineage: Bacteria
Description: partial 16S ribosomal RNA
Rfam family: Bacterial small subunit ribosomal RNA
Source: RNAcentral
CCUACGGGGGGCAGCAGUAGGGAAUCUUCCACAAUGGACGAAAGUCUGAUGGAGCAACGCCGCGUGAGUGAAGAAGGGUUUCGGCUCGUAAAGCUCUGUUGGUAGUGAAGAAAGAUAGAGGUAGUAACUGGCCUUUAUUUGACGGUAAUUACUUAGAAAGUCACGGCUAACUACGUGCCAGCAGCCGCGGUAAUACGUAGGGGGCAAGCGUUGUCCGGAAUGAUUGGGCGUAAAGGGCGCGUAGGCGGCCUGGUAAGUCUGGAGUGAA